Molecule: ribosomal RNA, 253 nt
Filed under: uncultured bacterium
Lineage: Bacteria
Description: partial 16S ribosomal RNA
Rfam family: Bacterial small subunit ribosomal RNA
Source: RNAcentral
UACGAAGGGAGCUAGCGUUGUUCGGAAUUACUGGGCGUAAAGGGCGCGUAGGCGGUACCAUAAGUCAGAUGUGAAAGCCCUGGGCUUAACCUAGGAGGUGCAUUUGAUACUGUGGAACUAGAGAUCGGGAGAGGAAAGUGGAAUUACGAGUGGAGAGGUGAAAUUCGUAGAUAUUCGUAAGAACACCAGUGGCGAAGGCGACUUUCUGGCCCGAUACUGACGCUAAGGCGCGAAAGCGUGGGGAGCAAACAGG